RNAcentral lists this non-coding RNA (55 nucleotides) under Prorocentrum micans. Lineage: Eukaryota; Dinophyceae; Prorocentrales; Prorocentraceae. The record is from RNAcentral.
AAAAAAAAAAAAAAAAAAAAAAAAAAAAACUUACAGCCCUUUUUUGUGGAAUUCU